Molecule: long non-coding RNA, 424 nt
Organism: Aedes aegypti (yellow fever mosquito)
Lineage: Eukaryota; Metazoa; Arthropoda; Insecta; Diptera; Culicidae
Exons: 2
Source: RefSeq, a predicted model, not a curated record
UUUAUUUUAUCAAAGUGAGUAACUUGUUACUCACUCAUGAAAGAAAACGACCUUACUCACUUUUGAGUAAACACUAACAUAUUCGACUCACUUUGGAACUGUCAAAUACUUGUGAAAAUUUCGGCUUCCAAGUUUAGGAGUAAAUAUUGUUGUAAGAAUAUGUAUUAUACUAGUAAAACAGUGCUUAAAAUCUGUAGAAUUACCUAUAACGAAUGAGCAAUAGAUGAUUUAUUGUUACUGUUAUUAUUAAUUCCGAUAUCAAGUGAAGCGAGAUCGGAGUUUUUGAAGGUAACCAAGUCCUGGUUUUGAUCGAACAACCGCGAGAAAAAAGUUUAUAUACAUCUUUCCGAAAAAGCUACUGGCUUGGGCAAACAUCCGGAUCAACAUCCAGCGAAUGAAUAUUCACCGGAAGAACAUUGAGUGG